RNAcentral lists this transfer RNA (88 nucleotides) under Candidatus Poribacteria bacterium. Its description in RNAcentral is "tRNA-Ser". It matches the Rfam family "tRNA". From Rfam's summary of the family: Transfer RNA (tRNA) molecules are approximately 80 nucleotides in length. Lineage: Bacteria; Candidatus Poribacteria. The record is from RNAcentral.
GGUGGGAUGGCUGAGUGGACGAAAGCGGCGGUCUUGAAAACCGUUGUGGCGCAAGUCACCGUGGGUUCGAAUCCUACUCCCACCGCCA